Molecule: unclassified non-coding RNA, 309 nt
Filed under: uncultured fungus
Lineage: Eukaryota; Fungi
Description: sequence contains ITS2
Source: RNAcentral
AACGCACCUUGCACUCUUUGGUAUUCCGAAGAGUAUGCUUGUUUGAGUGUCUUGAACUUCAUCAACCCUGGCGGUUUGGUUUUGCGACCUUGUGCUUGGGAUUGGAAUUGGGUGUUGCCGGUGGCAAACUGGCUCACCUUGAAUUUAUUAGCUGGGAUUCUUAGGUCUCUGGUUUGACUCGGUGUGAUAAGUAACCUUCACUGAGGACACCCUUUUCGGGGGGUGGCCAAAGCCCUUUGAUGACCGCUCUCCAAUGAUUAAUUUUCCACUUCUGACCUCAAAUCAAGUAGGACUACCCGCUGAACUUAA